This is a long non-coding RNA of Brassica napus (rape), 7466 nucleotides long. RefSeq lists it as uncharacterized. The transcript has 2 exons. NCBI's taxonomy places the organism in Eukaryota, Viridiplantae, Streptophyta, Magnoliopsida, Brassicales, Brassicaceae. The record is from RefSeq and is a predicted model, not a curated record.
CUUAUAGACAAUGACUUCAUCCGGUUUGUGUUAAGCAACACAUAGGUCUGGAUAGUUUUUUUCGUUCAACCAAAUCGCCACAAUUCUAUCUUUUUCUUCUGCUGAGCCAAUAACAUGCUUACAUUUGAAGUCUUCAGCUACUUCCUUGUACUCUUCCAUUGACAGCUCCUCCUGACUCCCUUUUAAAUCUUUUGUUAUAAGAAGUGAAGAAACAUUGAUCAAGGUAUAGUCCAAUUUCAGGGUACAGCUAUUCUCUCAUCCCUAGCACAUAGAGUCCUCACAUCAGUUUGCCUCACACAAAUCUAUAUGCAGAGACAAAGCUUAAGCUUACCUGUUGAAAGAGGUUUGGAUCAGUGAUUCAGGUGUAUAGUUCCUCAUGAAUGCAACAGAAACUCCAAUCAUUUUCCUCAUCUGAUGAAGCAUAAAGCUAUGUCCAACAACUUCACAGUUGACAAAGUCUUCUCCCUCGAGAGUGAUCAUUGUAUUGGCAUCGAAGGAGAGAAUGUAGUGAUUCAAAGUUGGGUCUGCUGCUUUGGUUUGUGGUGGUUGUGGAAGUUAUGUGAACCAACAUACAUAAUAGCUUAGGAUUCUGAUAAACAUUUAUUUUUCCUUCUCUGCAUAACAGAACUUGCUCAGAGUCUCACACUUUAAUGCAUCACAUUUUAUUUCGAACCAGACAAGAACCCUAGAGGCUAGAACUAGAAUCAAAGGAGACAUACCUCCACGACGAAGUAUAGUGAUCAAACAGCAGUUAGUUAGUGAGGCUUGAAAGCUCUGUAACAUGAUUGAUAUUCGCCCUUCAACUAAUGCGCCAAAUAUUUGGGCCUUUGAAGCCCAUAUAUUGUUCAAACAAUUGGCACCUAAGCUAAUAGGUUACCGUUGGCCACCCAUUUUGAGUACCAUUUAUUUUUCCUUGUUUUUUGUAUCCUAAACUCUUCUUUUUACGUAGACGUAGGAUAUAUAAAUGACAAUUACUUUUGCAUCUUUCAUAAUGAACUGAGAUGUGAUAAACCAUGUGAGCAUCUAUCUACCUACUCCAUAUUUCAGAAAGUCUCUUUUUUUUGGGAGGUGAGACGUCUAUAAAAGUAGCUCUUCAGAAAUAUUCCAUUUGUGACAUCCGUGAUCUGGCUUCAGAAGAGUUUUUUUUUUUGAUCGAAAACUUCAGAAGAGUUAUUCAUCAUCAUUCAUGAUCCCUUGAUCCCAAUGGGUAUAAAAUGUAAAUCUUGUAAAUUUUCAGUAUGAAAAAUAAAAUGAUAAGAGCUUAGGUUUUAAACUUCUAAGAAUCAGUGUGCUAGACAAUAUAUCAUGAUCAGAUUCUAGAGGUUUAUCGCCAUUGAAGAUUGUCUAAAUUGCUUAGGGUUUCGAACUAAGAAAGAGAUAUGUCAAUAUUUCUUUUCCUUUUUCUUUUUGGUGUAAAUUCUAAUUCUACUAUAUUUUUCAAGUUACAUAAGAAGGAGAUCAACAAAUACAUAUAAGCUUUGUAAAACCUCAUUUCUAUCGUUUUGAGUAGUUUGGAAACUUUGGAUAUAUAAAAUAAUAAUGAGUAACUGUAACCCAAUUAAAAUACUAAUGUACAAGCGUAUGAGAAUGUUAAUCCCUUUUUCGGUAAAUAGUAUUAUUUGUGAGUGGAAUUUAUGUCAGUUGCGUUUAAUCUUUGAGAAAUUCAUCUCUGACCCAAGACACACAAGUCCUAACCGGACUUAGUUGAAUCAAACAAAGUCUUAAGUAAGGAGGAAUUUCCCAAAGUUGAAAUUGCCUUUAUGUAAUUUACUCUUAAAGGCAUCGCAUCGCAUGGUAUCUACGUUAUUAAGUGCAGUGGUACAGUUACAAUUUUUUGAGCGUUCAAACCCAACCACACAUUCUAUAUAAUUCUUUUUCAGGUUACAAAACAUUAUUUAGCUUUAUGUGCAUCAUAUUGGCCAGUCCUGAUUGAACCAUUUGAAUUUGGUUGGACGCAGGGGCGGAGGUAGUGAAGGAGAAGUGGGGUCAGCUGACCCCACUAUUUUUUUAAAUAUAUUUGUUUUUGUUUAAGAAAAAAAAUUAUUGACCCCAUUAAAAUAUAUAAUUUGACCCCACAAAAUAUAUAAUCCUACUAAAAUAAUUAUAAUACAUUAAAAAUUAAAGUUAUAAUUUGUAGCUUUUAAUGAUUUAUAAAUUAUGUUUUUGAAAAAAAAAAUUAUGAUCCCGGUAUAAAAAAUUUCUGGCUCUGCCACUGGUUGGACGUUUUGUAUAAGUGUUCACUUAACUACUGAAUAAAUUUUCAAGAAUUUUAGGCUAAAGAAAAACAUAGGUCUAAGAGUCUAAGACUUUGAAUACUGUUUAUCUACUCUAGUACACUGACACUCGUCGUUAAACCACAAUCAGUUAAUGAAAUCUUAAGAAAUGAACGCAUAACCAGGAGUGAAGGAAGGAUACCCGAAAGUAAGUGAUGUGAAUAUUAUAUAGUCAUGGGACUUCAUGAUUCAUUUUUCAAUUAUAUAACAAAAAGCCGAUAUUUUGUGACAUCUUAUCACUUGUCGACGUUCGACCAAACCCAACACUGUCUUUUCCAUUCUUUAUCUUCUUCAUUUUCUCUUGUUCGUUUCUGCACUCAUUAUCUUAAAUUUUUAUUUUAAGGAUUAAUUUGGAUUUAAGAUUUCAGUAAUACUCUACAACGGUAUAAAGAACAGCCUAUAUAAGACAUUCACCAUCAUGUGAAAUGUUGCUCCUUUUCUCAAAUAAAUAAAAGAAAUGCUGCCCAAAGAGAUUUUCAAUCAUGGAUUCUCACGUAGAUCUUCCCAAUAAAAUGGAAAUUCAAUUAUUCGUCUUUUAAAAAUAUGAUUAAUCACACCCAUACUAAGCAUUAAAGCAUACGAUAAAUAUAACUUUUGGAGUAAAUAUUCAUUUUUAAGAAGAAUAAUUGAGUAAAAAUAUUUUGCAUAUAUUUCUGAUUUUUCUAGCUAUGUUGUAUUCACUCUAAAAAGCACAUUUUACGAAAGCUCUUUCUAUUAAAAAAAAAAAAGACAAGAAGUGAGAGAACCAGAAUAUUUUUUGGUGUAAAUGUUAAAAAUUAGAGAACAUAGAUAGUUUCUCGUUUGAAACUCAAAAUAAAUUGUGAGAAAGCUACUUACUUGUCAUAUUGUAAUUAGUUUUGAUUUUUUUUAAAAAAAUUUAAUUUUAGUUAUUGAGAAGAGCUCUAUCGAUGUUGAUGUUCUAAGAAGCUUGUGAUCCAGACCCGAACAAACUUAUUAUUUAUUUUCAUAAAAAUAUUGGAUGUUUUCAUAUAUAUUCAACUGGAAUUUUUGAGCAAGGCAACUUAUGACCUAUAAGUGAGGUCGUAAUAAAUUAAUAAUGUAACUAUGUAAGUAUAAUAAGUAUACAAAAUCGUAAUCAAACCUUUGGUUCAUAGAUUUUUUAAUUAAUACACCUGAUAAUUCUAGUAAAUGGCGAUAAUGAUGAUGGUAUAUGCAUGAGAGAGUGUCUACGCAUGCAUAAUGGAAAAGGUUCCAAAGAAAGGAAUAAAUUCGCCAAAACAUAAUUAUGAUUUGUGCGGGUGACUUGAAAAUGUUUUCUUUAUUAGUAAAUCAAUUUUCAGUCUUUCACCAACCUUUCAAGGACAAGAACCACACAUAUUGAAAAUAUUAUACAAAUGUUGAAAUGUAUACACCACAUGACACAUGUAGAAGGGUUACAAAUGUUGGCAUAAGAAAAAGAUUAUGCAAACAGGUUUUACGUUUUUCUAGUAUGUACAUGGCCAUCUCUGUUUUCUUACUUGCUCAAGUUAUAAAUAUAAAACAUUUUCACAUACACUUUAAUUGUUAAGGUAAAAUCACUAUAGUACAGAUUUUGAAAUACAAUGGCCUGUAAUGAUCUGGAAAGCAGAAAUUUGAAAACAUUUAUUAAAUGAUUUAAUCAUACAUUCACUGACAUCAUCACAAUCCGACAAACCCGAUGUUUCAGUUUUUACUUUCAUUAUCAUUGAAUGCAAAUAAAUACGAAACCCAUUUCAUGGGAGAGCUUGGUUGAAUUCACAGAUUUCUUCAUUUAAUAAAAAUAUGAAAAAACAAAUAAAAGACAGAUGUGAUGACAAAAAAUAAAAUAAAACUAGACCAAAAGAAUAAAAUAAUAGAUGCAACAGUUCGAGGAAUAUAAUAAGAAAAACGUUGUUACACAUUCGUAACGUACCCCAUUCCUCAGUAUAAAAAGUCUAGGAAGAAUUUUUUUUGAAAAUGUAAUUUUAAUACUACGAUUAAGUGGCUUGGUGGCUAAAAAAGUGGAUGGGGUAGAUUUUGAGGCAAUAAAUACUGAGGAGUACUAUUAUUAUGAGUUGGUGCAGUUAAUACCUUGAAGAGUGCUUCUAUUAUUCAUACGGAUGGAUUUAUAGCAAUGCUAACUCCUUUUUAUUGGAGUUUGUUCCUUUAUUCACUCGAAACUAAAGAAAAAAUUUAGUGUGAAAAUUCUUUAUACACAAAAGUAGGGAUUUCGUCGAAGCAAAAUUGUAAAAAGGUUGUUAUGAAGGUCGUGGGAUCGAGUGAUGCGUGCGACAUAUCAAUCUAUGGUAGGGAAAGAUGUUGAAUUCCCAUUAUAUACUGUACUCUUCCAAAAUACAUUUAUAUCCAAAAAUAUAUAAUAUAAUAUAAAUAAUGAGGCUGACCAUCUCCAUGAACAUGAGAGAAGAGGUUGACCCUAUUUAAAACCAUUUAGAUUUACCCAUCUUUUUGAUGAGCCCUAGUCCUAGAGAUAGUUAAUUUAGACUUAAUAUUCAUUUUUACCCCGAGCUUUGGAUUCUGUAAUCCACUCCCCUCUAGUGGACAAGUAAAUGGACCCAUAAAAAUGGAAGUUGUCUCGUACCUUUGGCAUGAACCAGAAUGAGAAAAUUGUUAAACUCGCGCCAACAAAAUUCGCCAUAUUAUAUUAUUUUUUUGCUAAAUACUAUUCUCCGUUUUGGAUAUAUUAACGUUACUCGUUACUAUAAAUAAGUUUAAUAAUUUAUUGUGAGCAACGUACUAUAGUGAUCACUGAUCAACGUGACAACAUCACAUGCAUGUUAUUCACGCAAAAUUUGAUGAUAUAACAAUAUUUUUGCCAAAUAUGUGAAUUCCAUUGAAAUGGUAAGAGUUUGUAAAAAUCACGCAAAGUUUGAUGAUAUAACAAUAUGUUAUUACGAGUUCACAAUAGUUCAUGUAUAUUAUGUAUACUGUAGUAUUUUUGUUAGAUCGUAAACGUUUUUUUAGCUAAUUAUUACACUCACUUUAUGGUUCUUUACAUGAUGAAAAUCAGUUUUCAAUUAAUGUCGACCAAAAGAAGUAGUAGUGAGUCUAGUAACUACUCGACUUAAUUCGAUAUUAUUCUAAUUUAUAUUUUCGGGUCACACUUGUACAUAUUGCCAACGUCAACGUUUAUAUAUCUUGAGAAAAAGGGUGAAAGAGAAAAGAAAAGGAAACGGAAACGGAAACGGUAGGCGCUAAGGUAAACCCCGUUGAAAAGUUGCUAACUAUUUUUGGUGAAGAAACAAAACGAAGAAAACUAUUCAGUCUCUUUCAUAACGAAAAAAUGAGUUUUUUCCCCUCAAGAAAGCCACAUAUAUUUCCUUUUCUAACCUCUCUCUCUUACACGAUUAUCUGUUAAUGUUGUUAGAUCUAUGGUCUUUUCAAUUCCAGAUCCUAUAGAUCUUCGAUAUUUCCAUUACAACUCAUCUAGGGUUUUGAGCUAGCCGUCAUAAAGAGGAGUCAUCUGCCUCGCGGACACUCUCUUUCUCUCUCUUCCUCCAAUAAAUAAACCACCACCUUCCCUCUCUCACAUCACUAUACCAUAUACUACAAGACUCCUCUAAUUAAUGUGUGUGUUCUCUCCAAGUGGUGAAUACAACUUCAUGAGCGGGUUACAGAUUGGAUCUUUACACUUUUACUCUUUUCCUUUCACGAGGGUUUGACAAAGAGUUUCUUACAGACUUCUUUGGCAUUCUGUCCACCUCCUUCUAUGUAUACAAGUUUAUGUAUAUACAUGGUGUUUGAAAGAGGGAGGUGGUCAUACUGUCAACAGAUAUCUGUUAGGGUUUCUUCGUAAAACCCUCUUGAUAUACCAUAUUUAUCAAUGUUUUGAAUCUGGUGAGCUUGAUCUGUUACUUGGUGAUGACAAGCCUCUAUUUGGCAUGAGUCUUGAAGUCUUUUGAUGUUUCGUCUUCUAGAAAAAGGUAAAAACACUAAGAAAAAGAGAAGGACCCAGAUUUCCGAAAAGGUAACAGAGGUUUUGAUUUACUUUAAGAACAUAGUAAUGGGGGGGAGAAAGGAGAAGCAUCUUGUUUUGAAAGUCCACGACGUUAUUAUGAUGUUCCCUUAUUCUAUUUGAAGUUGAAGAAACAGUUGUAGAGAUUACGUGUACUCCUUCAUUUGGUAUAAUUUUUUUUUUUUGGUAAACAUGUUAAAACAUUUGGUAUAAUUUCUGACCUAUAUAUAUACAAUACAAGUUAUAGCUUGCUUACUUUUAGUUUAUCAUGAGUUGAAAACAUUUAAUAAUUUUCAUGCUUUUACGAUAAGAUUUGUUGUUUGAUCAUAGUUAUGCAUUUAUCAUAUCAUCCCUAGACAAAACACGCAAGUCAUACAUAUACAUUUAUAUUUUUUGAGUAUUCAUCAACCUAUCAUGUUUUGAUGAUAAUUGCAUUGCUGGUUAGUAGACGGAUAUUUUGGGUUUAAUUGGUCCAAGAGUCCAAGUUUAUAGAGAUCUAGUAUAAAGUGAUAUUUUUGGUUUGCUCGAGGGUAUUGAAAAUAUCCACACUUUGGCUUUCAGUGUUCUGAAUGAACUACUUAAAACCAUCUUUAAUGGUUUACUCUAUUUUUUUCUCUAAAAUAGAGUAUGAAUGUUACUCUAAUGGUAUUCUAUUUUACCGUAAAAAAUAAAGUGAUGAACAAAAAAUAAAAAAAUUACUAUAUACAUAGAGUAAAAAAUAAAUUUACACUAUUAUAAAGUAGAAAAUAGAGAACUAUUUGAGUAUUUUUACUUUUUACUCUAAACUUUAUUUUAGAGAGGAAAAUAAAGUGAUGUUGGAGAUGUCCUAACAAAAAAUGUGCGAAAAAACUAAGCUUUCCCAUUAAUUACGAUAAGCUAAACAUAUUCUCAAACCAAAACAUAAUAUUUUUUAUACAUAGGCGAAUGCUAAUUUUGGACAAUGGGUUUGCAUGGAGCUCUCCAAUAUGAGAGACUUGAUUACAAAUUUUCAUGACGGCACUCCCGUUUGCAAGUUUAAUACAUGGGUGGAUUGUAAGGUUCACGUCAAUCAACACUCAUACUCUUCUUACCUUUUUCUAGCACUUUACCAACUCUAGUCUCUAGAUGUUAACUUUUCUGCAAAUAAAAUCUGAUUCUUACAGACUUUUAGUAAUAACAUUUAUCUUUCAUAUUUUCUUGACAUUUUGUAUCUAUGUAUAUAAGAGAAAUGAUUUUGUGUUGACAAUAACGUACAGAAGCUAUAAUAAUGUAUAUAGGAUAUU